UCUCACUCUCUCUAAAAUAGAAAAUUCGCCGUCUCUGAUCGAUCCACCUACACUAGCUCGUCAACAACAACAACUGCACAAAUUAAUUUAAGCGUUGACCCCACAUCGCGGAUGCCCAGGGUUGUAAGUCUUCAGAUUAGAAUAUGCUGAUGAAAUCAACCAGAAAAAUGGUACUUGCAGGAUUUGCAGGAAAACUGGCAAAUUAAUUUAAGCACAGAUUUGCAGGAUUAAACUCCAUAAAUUCAUCAAAGUCAAGG
Molecule: long non-coding RNA, 257 nt
Filed under: Panax ginseng (ginseng)
Lineage: Eukaryota; Viridiplantae; Streptophyta; Magnoliopsida; Apiales; Araliaceae
Description: long non-coding RNA (PGIN_LNC012011)
Source: RNAcentral